GAAGUCAUUACAGCUAUGUGAAGCACCGGAUCGACGGGCUUGACAAAGAUAACUUUGUGUACAGCUACACUUUGGUUGAAGGCGAUGCUCUUUCAGACAAGGUUGAGAAAAUCAGUUAUGAGAUUAAGUUGGUGGCAUCUGCUGAUGGAGGUUCCAUCAUAAAGAGCAGCAGCAACUACCACACCGCAGGGGAUGUUGAGAUCAAGGAAGAGGAUGUUAAGGCUGGCAAAGAGAAGGCCACUGGUCUGUUCAAGCUCAUUGAGAACUACCUUGUGGCCAACCCAGAUGCCUACAACUAAAACCUUAAAUGAAAUAUACUGCAUGUGCUUUCUCUGUCAUUAUAUUGGUGUGGCUUUCAUUUUUCCUUUCCUUUUUGUUGUGUGUGGCCAAGGCCUUGCACUUGGAGGCCUUUGUUAUAUCAAAGUGUGACUGUUGUAUUUUUUUUUUUCAUUAAAUAAAGCAAAAAUCAGUUGCUGGUCUUUACAAAUUUGGUCUGUAGUAUUUUUUCUCUUCAAAUUAGUGAAUUUCAAAUUUUUUUUUUUACUAAUAAAAAUUUACUAGUGCAAAAUAAAGAUUUGAUAAAAUUGGAAUAAUAAGGAUGACAUGCAUAAAUCGAGAAAUGUCCCUUUGGUUUGGUCAAGGUUUUUGAGAAGUACCAUUUGGGGCAACCCAGAUGCCUUCAAUAAGUAAAACUAUCUGUCACAGUACUGCUUGUAAAGAGCAACAAAAGUCUUGUGUCCUCCUUUUCCAUCUUCAUUCAUUGGUGCAGCUUUCAUUUCUAUGAUGAGUGUGUAUUUAUUUGAAUUCAAUCUUUAUAAUUAAAGGAACAUCAUUUGCUAAUUAUUUGAUUCCGCUAAUUAAAGUGACUCAGUCUAUUUGCAUGUCUAAAAUGUACAAAUAAAAAACGAAUAAAAAAUAAAAUAAAAGUAAAAGACAUUGCAAAGAAUCAUAUCUUCAACAUGAUCAGUCCUCAGUCUAUUUGCAUGUCUAAAAUGUUGGUCAAUCCUCCUCAGUCUGACCAUAACUAACCAAUCAAUCUUAAUCAACGGUCCCGAUUUCUUUCAAUAUAUAUAUAUAUAUAUAUAUAUCCAGCCAUUAUCAAGUAUCAACUAAAGCCAGCCAUUUCCAAUUUUCCAUUGUUUGGAAUGGCACUCAGCCUGGUUCCUGCUACGCUAUUUGUGGCCGCUAAUGCCCAGCAAGUUGCUAGUGAGAAUUGAUAAACGCAAUUAGCUAGCUAGUUGUUGGGCAUAGCGGCUGCGGAUAACGUAGCAGAUAUCCACAAUAUGAAGAUUCACGACACUGUUUACAAUAAGAAUUUGGUUCCCGUUUGUCCAAUUCGCAGAUGCUCAGCCUCAUUUUAAAGCAUUUCGGUAUGAAAAAAUUUGGUUUUUCACAUGUUAGUCAAGAUAUGAUUGCACCAGCGUCAUGUUGUCAAACAGUCAUUGUUAGUUUUGAGUUUUGAGUUUUGAGUUUUGAUUAGAGAAAACUUCCAUUCAAACAGCAAAACAAUUGACUCUGACUGAUUAAAAAAACAGUUUACUAUUAGUUGGUAACAAUUACUCAAAUGAAUGUUUUAUGUUUUAUUGGGACUGAAAUUAAGUACAACAUUACUCUUCAAUCUUAACUCCAAAAGGACCACAAGCAAUUUAAGCCUGACAGCAUGAUACCAGUAAAGAAACAAAGACACCAAGGGCAAACACAAAAACUAACAUAAGCAAUAGUAGCCAAUAUGCCAUUCAUAGCCAACCCAAAAAUAAAGUGUCUCAUUGGGCAUUAAAAACCUUUCAUUUAAGUAUAUGAAGCACUGGAGAUCCUAUUAUCUUGUGAAGGCUAUCAAAUUAUUUUUGUUUGUUUCAUUUAUUGAAAUUGAACUACAUUACUCUUUAAUCUUAACUCCGAAGUGUAAGCCAAAGACUGCUUUGGCAUGAAAAAAAAAAAUUAAAAUGAAAAAUGAAAAGCCACAAUGUUGAAUGAUUAAUAGAGAGAUUGUUAGUUUUUUUUUUUUUUUUAUAAUAUUGGGUUGUCUCAAGAUUGUCUCCUACGUGAAUCGAACCCUGGUGCACUUAGUGGGUGCGCAGGAGAGUUUGGCCCACUUUUCUACCAUGGCUCUGUCAAAAUUAAUACUACGGCGCUCACAAAAGCGACUUCAGUAAAGCAGGUAGUGGUGGUGUGUUUCGCGAUUGUCAGGGCCAUGUUCUUGGGGCAUUUUCGGCCAAUUUAGAUGUUCCCUAGUGCAGUUCAUGCUGAAGUUUUAGCGGUCAUUAAGGCCAUUGAGCUUGCUUGGCUCCAUGCUUGGCAUAAUGUUUGGAUUGAAACUGAUUCGUUGUUAGUUACUAAAUUCUUUCGCUCUACACAUUUGGUCCCUUGGCUUCUACGAGUUGAUUGGCAAAUUGCUUGCAUCGUCUCCAACACAUGUCAUUUAAGAUUUCUCAUAUCUUUCGUGAGGGUAAUCAUGUUGCUGAUGCUUUGGUAAAUCAUGGUGCUUUGGCAAAUCAUGGUGCUUUGGGCUCUGGUUUAAUUUGGUGGGAUACUGCACCUUCUUUUAUUUUGCCUUUUUGUCAGUGGGACUGGCUGGGCAUGCCUAAUUACCGGUUCUCCUAGUUUCUUUUGUUUACUCUUUCAGAGUUUUGGUCUCUUAGGUCAGCAUGUUGUUGUGCAUUUCUGUCAUUGUCUUUCUCUUCUGCAGGGUUUGGUUCGGUCCCCCUUGUUGUUCUUGUAUCUCUUUUUUGUUUCUUAUUAAUAAAUUAUGAUCAAGGGGACGGGUGGGGGCUUUCGGAGCGUCGGUCCUCUCUUUGAGGAUGGUGGAUGUUUGUGCAUCUGAUGACUGAUACUGAAGAGCUAAUCUCGCCUAAUCAUUUAGUUUAUUUAUACUAUGGUGGCACCCAUGUGCCACAAUUGAUUGUUAGUUGUUGGCUAUAAAUUUCAUAUACAUCAUAUAUUUCGCGUAAUUGUUAACUUUUACUAAACGGUAGCAAAUCUUCUGAAGUUAAUUAGUACACUAGCUGGAAUCAAAUGGGACGGUGCCCAAUUGUGAUAAAAAGUUGGAGGCAGGAACUUUCUAAAGAAGUAAAUUCCAAAAUUUCACAAUAUGAUUGUCCCUACCGCACAAAUAGUAUGCACUUCUAGAACUUCAAAUUAGGAUGACUUGACUUACAUUUCAACAUGGACUGCCCAUCAUUUUCAUUUGCAUUUAAGAGUCCCACAUACGGAAAUACCAAGAGACGUCCACAUUACAUUGUAUGGUCAGAUAUUAUCUAGUCUUAAUUGCUGCAGCUCAAGUGGGUUUCGAAUUUCAAUUUCUUAUUGAAAAGCAUUCUCAUUUCUUUGAAAACUUCCUCUCUUGGGUUCUCAUACAUAUGAAAUCACAGACACUGUCAAUUUGUUACGAUGUGAGAGAAUGUAGUCGUCCAAAGCACUCAUUGAAUGCACAUGGAAAUUUUAACUUGUAUUCAAACAUUUGGCCAGAAAUAAUUGAGGUUAGUCCACCUCGUGGAUUAAUUGGAAUUUUAAAUUCAAUUUGCAGAUGGUCCUUCCCUUGACUAAAUUACAAAAUUCCUUUGUACAAAAGUAAUGGCUCCCACGUCACAAUGAAUACAACCAAUUAAACAAUUACAAACUUGCAUAAAGCUUUUGAUCACUUGGUUCUAUAAAUACCAUACCUCCUCCUCACUUCUUCACAACCCAAAAUCUCCCAUUUGCAUCAUCUUUCUUAGUCUUCCCUCUUCAUCAAUUACUUUUUUUUAUUCUCACUUUCCAAACACUUUUUACAGAAUCAUGGGUGUGUUCACAUACGAAACCGAGAUCAACUCUGUCAUCCCUCCUGCUAGGUUGUUCAAUGCCUUUGUUCUUGAUGCUGACAACCUCAUCCCAAAAAUUGCACCACAGGCAGUUAAGAGCACUGAGAUCCUUGAAGGAGAUGGAGGCGUUGGAACCAUCAAGAAAAUUAACUUUGGUGAAGGUAAGUUUAGAUUUUUUUUUUUCUUCUUCUGGUUUGUUAUUUUAACGUUACAGAAAUAUUGUUUUGGGGUCAUCUUAUCUCAUAACAGAAAGAUUCAUCUGGUUUAAUGUAUAUAUUUGUGCAGGUAGCACUUACAGCUAUGUGAAGCACAGAAUUGAUGGGAUUGACAAAGAGAACUUCGUGUACAAGUACAGUGUGAUUGAAGGAGAUGCAAUCUCUGAGACAAUUGAGAAGAUCUCCUAUGAGACUAAGUUGGUGGCAUCUGGCAGUGGUUCUGUCGUCAAGAGCACCAGCCACUACCACACCAAGGGAGAUUUUGAGAUCAAGGAAGAGCAUGUCAAGGCUGGCAAAGAGAAGGCCUCUCAUCUCUUCAAGCUCAUUGAGAACUACCUCUUGGAACACCAUGAUGCCUACAACUAAAUAUUCAUAGCUUUAUUACUUGGUGAUAUUCAAUCUUAUGUCCUCUUUGGCAUCAAAUAAUGGUGUGGUUUUUUUUUUUUUCUUCUUCUUCAUUUCUUUCCAAAACCGUGUUUGGCUUGUGCUUGGAGCUUUGGUUUGAAGAUUGAUUAAUACUAUAUUUUCUUUAGUUUCCAAUGAAUAAAAUGAAAAUCAUGGAUAUAUGAUGAUAUUUGCAAGCUCUUUUCUCGUAACAUUGUAAUGCAAAAUGUCAACAUAUCAUAUUUGAAGCGGCAUUUGUCAAUUACCAACGAUCAUAAUAAUUGAAAUAACAAUCGGACCUCAUAUGCGACAUAAUACGAUCAAUUAAUGGGAUGAAAGAAUAUCAUUUCGUUUUUCCUGUUGUAAACCAUUUGAGAAUUCAUACUAUAAAUACCGAUAUCCCGUGUAAGGGACUCUGUAGCUCAAGUGGUUAAGAUCAUUCUGCACGAGAUCCUAGAUUCAAUUCCCCCUCCCCUAAUAUAGCUUGUAUAAAAAAAUAUAAAAAAUAAAUACCGAUAACCCAUGAUGUUGAUAUCAAAGCUUAGAUAAUGAUCAAACAUAGAAUGAAAUGUGGAGGAAGAUAAGAGAAUUGAUAGAUUAAGGGGUGAAAGGUAUGUUAUGUAAACUGCAACACAAAUUUAUAAUUGUUCUUUGGAUGUCGCCCUUGUGAACAGGAAGCAGUCUGUAUCAAUGGAUAUGGAGCUCCAAGUCGAAGUGAUCGAACCUGCAAAACAUAAUUCGCAAAGGAAAGGUAAAACUUUUCACUAUCUAGCGAAAGUAGAAGAGACGAAAAAAGUAAUCUUAUUUAGAGUAUGAGGCACAGCCUACCUCAACACGUCAUGGUAGGUAAGAGAGCUAUUGCAUAUGGCUUCUGAAUAUUUAUGUAUAUUUAAAGGGUCUAGCCGCGCGGCUAUACCUAAAAAAGUUCGCAUACAUUUAAAGAGUAUAGCCACUCGGCUAUACUUUUAAAAUAUUCGAAUAUAUUUAAAUAGUAUAGCCGUGCGGCUAUACUCUUUAAUAUUAGAAAUGACGAUUUCAGGCCUGCGAUUGAGGCCAACUCGAAGCCGCGCGGCUGUACCCUAAACCCUCGAUUCGCACCCUGUUCUUGAUCUCGCGAUCGAUGGCGCCGAUGUGCUCGCUGUGGAGCUGUUGUUUAUUGGUCUGUUUCUCACCUUGUAUGACGUUUUUUGGAUUUCGAAUUCGAUUGGCUGUGCUUUGAAAGCAAAUAGAAAUUCAUAAGCAUGCUGCAAAACAAGGAUUGCUCAGUUUUAAAAAUACAAGUGUAGCUAUUCUUGAUUUUGUGAUGGCUUCUGAUAUUUAGCUAUGUUUUUAGCUUUCAUGUAAGAGAUCAACGAUUGGAUUAGUCUUAAUCUGUGCAGAAAUGGUGUGUGAGGAAGGGAGAAAUUGAUUAAAAAGGUCUGUUGGCUUGGGUCUGGGUCUUGGUUUGCAGAUUGGGUGUACGGUCUGUUGGCAAAGCCUGUCGGGGGUUGGGUGGGGGAGGAAUCGGAGACAGAGACAGAGCAGAGGGGGCGCCGCCAGGGGGCGUGGUUUGGGUGGGGGUUAUUUGUUAUUUUUGUUAUUUUUAAUUUUUUUAAUUUGUUAUUUUCUCUUUUAAAAAUGAAAUUACGAAUUCACCCCUAAUAUUGACGAAUUCCACAACUAUGUAUUGUCUAAUUUAAUUAAACUGCUAUUUAGAGAUAAUAUUCCAUAUAUGACAACCACAAGGUGUGGUGCGAUUGGCAAACUACUACCUCCAGCUGCCGAGCUACCUGAUAUCUCAAUGGCAGGAGUUCGAAACCUGUUAGAAGCACUCUGUAGCCAGGGGCAAGCCAAACCUCGAGCAGAGAUUAAUCCCACCUUUUGAGUGUGGGGACACCUCGUGGUAUUUACCAAAAAAAAAAAAAUUCCAUAUAUGACGUGUACGUUGAUAAGCAUUUAACAAGGUAAGAUUUUGUGUCCAUAUGGCACGUCUUAUCCUGAAAGAAUCUUACACACUAAACUUACACACACUACACAAAUGCUAGGACUCGAACCCAAGACCUCACCUGAGGGAGUAAAUACUCAAAACCACUACACUAGUGGGUCUUUUGCGAGUAUGGAAAAUAUUUGACAAAAAGAAAGAGUGUGGAAAGUUGUGAAUAAGUAGAGAAUGUGAUAUUUGACCAAAAAAAAGUAGAGAAUGUGAUAGCAUUUGUAAGAAAUGUGGGAAAUUUUUUGAAGUAUUUAUUGACAUCUUUUAGGUUUUUAAAAAAUAAUAAUAAUAAAGCCAAAGGCAAUUUUGAAAAGAAAAAAAAAAGGCUGCAUUUCAAAAGGGUUUAUAAUUUUUUUUAAAAAAGAAUUUUAUAUACAUUUAAAAUGUAAAAAAGGGAAGGGAAAAAAAAAGAAGGUAACGUGUCAGAACCAAUUUUUUAAAUAUAUAUUUUAAAAAAAGAAUGAAUUUAAAUACAUUUAAAAAGGUUAAAAUAAAAAAUAAAAAAAUUAACGACUAGCUGACAACAAUGCACCUUUAAUAUUAGCCUUUGGAUUUGCAGUUGCACAAGAUGUUCCAUGCUCAUGCCCAUGCGUAAUACUUUCUCUUCUUAAAAAGCACAUGCGUUGGGCCAACAAAAAAUUUGGCCUGAGCUAUAGUUGGACUACAAGUGGCCUGGUUGGAGGGCUAAAUGCCUAAAUGUGGCCCUCUAAAUUUGGCUAAAUUUUUUUUAGCCUAUAACUGAAGAUGAAUUUUGCAUUAAUUUAGUAUUUGGCCUGUAGCCCACGGCUGAAGAUAGCCUUAUCUUACCUUAUGCAUGCAUUAGAAAGUGUCUGUUUUCUUUUGAGGCCAGAUCAGUCCCAUUAAACAUGCUCUAAGCACUUCAUGAGCUGUUAAAAGUCUCUCAAUUGGUGCUCAAGGUCACAAUUUUUCUUUGGGGUGCUUAUACCCUUUGUAGCUGAAGUUUUUUUCUUUCCUGUUUUGUUUAUCUAAUUUUGGGUUUCAAGACCUCGUUUACAACUGGCAGUCAACACUGGAUUCAGUGGUAUGAUCAAAUAAACCGUACAAUAUUAACAAUAUGAUCAAUAGUUCAAAGUUACAUAAUUGAGUACCAGAUCAACUUUCAACCUUCAAUAUUUCAUGUAAAAUACAACAAUUCAAUCUUUUAAUGUGAUUUCAACUGGAACAUAUUGACUUUAUUAUAAAAUAUAUAUAUUAAAACAAAGUGUGACAUAUAUCAUGAACAACUGGACAAAGAGACACUUGAUGUACCAAGUCCAAGGCAAACCCACACCUUUAACUGACAAUGAAACUGGUAGAACCCAAAUUACAAAUAUAAACAAGUUUGGUUUUAGUUGUAGGCAUCAGGGUUGGCCGUUAGGUAGUCUUCAACAAGCUUGAAGAGACCGGAAGCCUUUGCUUUGCCAGCCUUAACUUGCUCCUCCUUGAUCACCACAUCUCCCUUGGCAUGGUAGUGGCUGGUGGUCUUGAUGAUGGAUCCUCCGUUGGGGGAUGCCACCAACUUGGUCUCAUAAGCGAUCUUCUCGAUUACGUCAGACAAGGCAUCUCCUUCAAUCAAAGUGUAGCUGUAAGAAAACUUGUCCUUGUCAAUCCCAUCGACCCUGUGCUUCACAAACCCGAAUUGGCUGCCUGCAAAUGGAUUAAAACAUAAAUUAGUAAAAUUCUUUGAGUUCAUCUAAGUGUCAAAAAAAAUGUGAACAUAUACAGAGAAUAAGGGGUCAACUAGCUAACCUUCACCAAACGUAAUUUUCUUGAUGGUUCCAACGCCUCCAUCGCCUUCAACAAUUUCAGCACCUUUGACUGCAGAUGGAGCAAUCUUGGGGAUGAGGGUAUCGGCGUCGAGGAUGAAAGCCUUGAACAACCUUGCUGGUGGGAUGACAGAGGUGAACUCUGUUUCAUAUGUGAAAACGCCCAUGAUGAUGAUGAGUUUUUUACUUGGGAAACUGAUCAAAGGAAAAGUUUAAAGGAAUAAGAGAAUAGUUGAACUACAAGGAGGUUGUGAGUUGAAGAAUGAGGAUGCUGAAGGUGAUAUUUAUCGAUCACAUCUAAGAGCAUGAACUGAGUUGAAGGUUCCCAUUUGGUGUGUGAAUAGCUGUCCUUGUACAUUGUUAACCAGUUUAUGCAAGUUGCUAAUAAAAUUGUAUUAGGAUAUGUCCAAAACGGUCAAGGAAAGCUCCCAGAGACGAAUUAAUUUACAAGCCAAUUGGUUCUAGACUGUGUACUAUAUGGGGUCGGGUUCUAGAUGGUCUUCCAAUUAUAAUUUGAAUUUUCAAUAAACAAAUGGUCGGUCAUGAAAGUUAACUACAUCAGCUGUUGUUUCUGAAUCCGUGAGGAAUCAUUUUUUUCCUCCACAAUGGCAACUGGCUGGCAGUCAACAUCGGCUUUAUUUUUUUAUUUUUUAUUUUAUUUUCUAGUCAACAUUGGCUUAUUUUCUUUUUUUAUUGAUACUGUUUUUUCAAUUUUAUAAGGUUUGGAUAUGAGGUGCAGUAAAUUUCUGCCUAGAUUCACUGCAAAAAUCUACUUCACAACCAGACUAAGGAACAUUUACUGAUGUUGCAAAUGUCUUCCAUGACAUAUUGAAUAUAUGCCAGACUAAAAGCAUACUUAGAGCAAUUUCACCUACUGUGCCAUGACAAAGAGCAAGAGCAAGUAAAGGCAGACACUAUUCACAUGAAUAGUGACUAUCCUAGCAAUUUUUUUUGAUGCAUUCCCUCCCACCUAUUGCCAUGGCAAUCCAAGGAUAAUCACUAUUCACAUGAGAUAUUAGGAGAGAAAUUUGUAUGAAUUUUGGUAUAGAAAGUGAAGAACAUGGUUAGGUAUUUAUAUAUAAAAAAAAAAUUAUGAAUUUUUUUCCCUUUCUUUCCCAAUUUUUUUGGUAUUUAAAUUGGUCGCUGACGUCAGCAACUCAGGCAAGUCUUGCCUUUGGGCUUGCCCAGUUUUAUGGGCCCAUUUUUUUCCAUGGCAAAAGGUAAUGGUUGUAAGUUGUUUUUGGAGCCUAAGCCCCAUUUUGCCAUGGCAAAAAGUGAUGGGUGGAAGUGCUCUUAGCAAUUAAUCAAUCUUGUACUUAGGCUGCAUGAGUGAGUGGAAAAGUAUUAGAAAACCAGUGUAACAACAUAUGUUUAAGCCUAUCAGAUCAGAUGUUCAUCUUCAUUCAUCCCACAAACUAAGACUUUAUCAGUCUAUAAGAUGUACAAAUUGACCUUAUUAGUUAAAUAAUUAUGUUAUGUAUAAUGUAUCUGCCAUCAAGUACUCCAAGUACUUAAUUGAGGUUAGCAACUCUGGUUGGCUGGACUAAUUGGGUUAUUAAGAUUAGCUAUUUGAGGCGGCUUCUUAGACUUGAACAGUAAGUCAAUGAAAUUGAAAAUUCUAGCCCCCUUUUCCAAUAGGGACAUUCAUUGAAAACUUUAAUCUACAGGGGAAAUUUCUAACACCAUGACCAUAUGCUUCCAUCUAUAAAUAGCACAUCCAGUGCUCACAUUUUCAAGCAUCAAAUAUCAUCCCUGCCAAUCAUCUAAUCCUUUCACACUUUCAUCUUCUUUGAUCAUUUUCUAAGCUCUAAAAUCAUCACCAUGGGUGUCUUCACAUACUCAGACGAGUCCACCUCAGUCAUCCCCCCACCAAGAUUGUUCAAAGCCCUUGUUCUUGAAGCGGACACCCUCAUCCCCAAGAUUGCUCCCCAAUCAGUUAAAAGUGCUGAAAUUGUUGAAGGAGAUGGAGGUGUUGGAACCAUCAAGAAGAUUAGCUUUGGUGAAGGUUGGUUUCUUCCACUGCCUCUUCCAAGUCUAACUUGUUUGCUUGAUUAACAUAAAUCUUGAAAGCAGUAAGCUCUAAAAUUCUAAUCAAAUCUUCAUUUUACAGGAAGUCAUUACAGCUAUGUGAAGCACCGGAUCGACGGGCUUGACAAAGAUAACUUUGUGUACAACUACACUUUGGUUGAAGGAGAUGCUCUUUCAGACAAGGUUGAGAAAAUCACUUAUGAGAUUAAGUUGGUGGCAUCUGCUGAUGGAGGUUCCAUCAUAAAGAGCACCAGCAACUACCACACCAAAGGUGAUGUUGAGAUCAAGGAAGAGGAUGUUAAGGCUGGCAAAGAGAAGGCAACUGGUCUGUUCAAGCUUAUUGAGAACUACCUUGUGGCCAACCCAGAUGCCUACAACUAAAACCUUAAAUGAAUAUAUACUGCAUGAUGUGCUUUCUCUGUCAUUAUAUUGGUGUGGCUUUCAUUUUUUCCUUUUCUUUUUCUUGUGUAUCAACCCAGAGCUGCUUUGGCUUGCACCUAAGUCUAUGAUAAAUUGUAAUGUGUGUAUUUGAUUUGAUUCUCAAUAAAUAAAGCAAAAAUCAGUUGCUGGUCUUUACAAAUUUGGUCUGCAGUUAGACAAGGAUAUACAAUAAAAGCAGAAGAGCAUAUCUGCUUGAAUAUUUAUUUUGUUCUUUGUUAAAUACCUUUGGGGAACAAUAUAAAAGAAUACAGAAAAUACAUUGUAGCACUCAAAAUAAGAGAAAUUCCAUUUCUGUUUAAUUAAAUGUUGGCCACAAAUGGCUUUGCAAAGUCAGAAGAUUUGAUUGAUAACAAAUGGGCAGCAGAGUGAGUUUCAAAGAAUAAUAAACCUCGUGGUGUGUGGACUUGACUUACCAUAAGAAAUAUGAAGUGUGUGGACUUGACUUCAAUUUGAUUAGAACAGCAAAUUUGGUAGAAGAGAUUACUUGAGAAGAGAAGCGAUUGAAAGUCUAAAUUGGAUGACAUGUUUGUGAAAGUGAUAGGGAGACAAAGCACAAUACAAUAAUGUAUAAUUCCUGCAUUGUGGGGUCUUUGAUGAGGUAGAAGAUUUAUGAUUAAUGGACAUUUGAAGCAGAAAAUGGUGCAGAUGGCUGAUGUUGAAGCAGAGCAUCCUCUGUAUGAUUAGAGAGGACUCAAGUCUACAAGACGUAUACACCAGGCUAAAUUACACGUAUCGUAUUUACUUAUCACAUCUCUUAUAGAAUGAAAAUAUAAUUAUACAUGCCAAUGAGGUCUAGCCCAUUGAAAAAAGGCCUUAAUUUGCAGAUUAGUGUGUUAGAUUUCUUUAUAUACAUGUUCAAGAUCUUUCACACAAUCUGAAAUACGUAAAGACAUACCUAACGCCAUCUUUCUUGAGUACACGACCUCUGCUCUCUCUCAAAAUCUGUUUCAACUCUCUCUUUAUGAUGAGAUUAGGGUUAGAUAACGUGUCUAACGAGAGCAAGACCUUAAGCUUAUAUAGGGCUAUGUCAAGUUGUCUCUACUCAUCACCGAGGGCCGACUUGACUAAUCUUCUAAGCCCACCAAGCAACGAUUCACACAAAAAAGGAAAUUAAUAGAACCCCUUAGGCUUUAAAACCUUUCCUUAGUCCACAAGGUUUCGGGCCUCAAGGUAUAACCUAAUUUAAACUCUUAUUAUCAAAACCGGAUAUAACUUAGUAUCUAGUGCACCAAUCUAAAUAGGCAACAUAACAUAGUGGUCUCAUAUUCGAAUCCUCAUAGUUAUUUGGUAGUGUGUAUGAAAAAUUCCCCCCUCCCCCUCCCCCUUCCCAACUUUGACAAAAACAAAUAUAAUUAAACAUAUGGGUUUUAUAAUUUCUAUAUUUGUAAAAUAUAUAAUACUUUUGUGUGGUUUGCCACACUAUUGUGCCAAGCUUAAGCCCACAAUGAAACCACAAACAGAAGCUCGUUUCGUAUUGACCACAUAGAAGCCCAAAGUGGAGAGCCCACUUAUUUUCUAUAUAAUACUAGAGAGACUGUAUAAUGAGGGGUUAUUUGAUACAUUUUGUAAGAGCAUCUUUAAUAGGCUCUUUAACAACUCCAGAAUGCUAAAAUAAGUGAGCCACAUCAUCAAAAUUCUCUCUAACAACUUUAGAAUGCUAAAAUAGGUGAUCCACAUCAUCAAAACCCUCUCCAACAACCUUAUCAAAGUCAAUCAUCAAAGUUGCAACCUCUUUCCUCUAUUUUCAGGAUUGGUAAGUUGACUUUGAUUCAAAAAUUAAUUUUACUUUGGAAAAAUAAAACCUACCUUGAAAAUAUUAAAACAUGCAUUUUUUUUUCCAGAUAAUAAAUACAUAGAAAUUCUUCACAUAUUUUCAUAUUUUUCAUUCUUUUUCAUAACAUUGCAUUAAUUGAAUUUGAAGAGUCUGAUAUGGCAUAAAUUAUAAAGUAGCAAAUAAACCUUUUCAAAUUACCACAUAAGUCAACAAACUUUAAUUUGAAAAGUUUAGUUUGCUACUACUAUUGGAGAAGAGCAUCUCCAACAGCUUUUUCAAAGACUUUAGGACACUAAAAUAAGUAAGCCACAUCAAAAAAACCUUCUUUAACAGUCCUGUCAAACCCACUCACCAAAUCUAGUACUCUUCCUUCACUCUGCAACAUAUUUAUUAAGCUUUGAAACAACAAAAGCUGUAUUGGAAUGUUAAAAGCCUACAUGAGAUUGAGUUAACAAUAAUGAAUUAUUAUUUAAAUAUUAAGUUGGUAUUAUUAAAUUGAAUAUAAUAUUAGUGUUUGAUUAAAUAGAAAAAGAAAAGUCAAACAUUGAAAUUAAUAAAAUUGAAGAGGUUGAUAGUGAUACAAAAUAGUAAAGUAGCAAAUUUUACCCUUCAAAUUACCACGUAAGUCAACAAACCACAAUUUAAAGAAUUUAGUUUGAAGAAAUUAUUGAAGAUGCUUCGUUUAUCCACAUUAACUCAAUCAUUAAUGUAAUUAGUUAAUACAUUACAAAUAGGGUUUUAUUCUUGUAACAAAGUGAGGCAAAUUAAGUUUUUUUUAGGGAUUUGAUUUCCCCACUCUCCUUUUCUCCACUUACACUAACUUUUUUUUUAAAUACUUUUUAAUCAAUUUUGUUCUUUCUCUUUCCUAUUCUAUCUUUACCUUGCACUAAUUUCUUUUUACUUCACUUUUAUAUUAGUUCUUUUCCUUUAUACUUAAUUUUCCAGCUUGUACUCCAUUUUUAGUAUUUUUUUUCCUUUAAUCGAGUAAUAAAUUAUUAUUUUUCCCUUUAAUACUGAAAAUGGAGUGUAAGUUGAAAAAUGGCCAAAAGUCACUUUUGGUCCUGUAGUUUAGUACUUCAACCACUUUUGAUCCUAUAGUUUCAAUUCUAUCAAUUUUGCCAUUGUAGUUUCGUAUUUGUAACAAUUUAAGGAUAUGUUAGCAUUCUUGUUAAUUUCUUUCAUGAUGCAAGGGGCAAUUUCGUCAACACAAAACCGUUAAGCGUAAAAGCUUGUCUGAAAUUCUCCCAAUGUCAUAUUAGGGCUCAAAAUUCAACCACUAAUCCCAAUUUUUGAAGAACCCUAAACCCAAAUAACCAAUUUCAAGCCCUAAUAUGAAAUUAGGGGAGUUUCAGAAGAUCUUUUAUGCUCAAGGAUUUUGGGUAGACAAAAUUGCCCUAUGCACCGUCAAAGAAAUUGACAGGAAUACUAAUUUGUCCUUAAAUUGCAACAAAUACGAAACUACAGGGUCAAAAUUGACCGAAUUAAAACUACAGGGUCAAAAGUGGUUGAAGCGCCAAACUACGGGGACCAAAAGUGACUUUUACCCAAAAAUAAGUAUAAAGAAAAAGAAAUAACAUAAAAGUGAAGUAAAAAAGAAAUUAAUGUAGGAUAAGGAUAGAAUAAGAAAGAGAAAUAACAAAAUUGAAUAAAAAGUAUUAAAAAGUAAAAGAGAGUGUAAGUUAAGAAAAGAAAAACGGGAAAAUCAGCUCACUUUUUUAAAUAUGAUGAUAUUCUUAUCAAAUUGCACCGAAAACAGUACCGAUUCUGCUAUUUUUGUUUUGUCUUUUUUCCCCACUCUGUUAAUUAUCCAAAUUAUGAGUCCCGCCAACUUUGAAGGUUGUCUUUUAUGUCAAAAAUAAUGCUGAGCAUCUAUUUCCUUUCUCCUUCUCUUUUUGUCCGGACAUUGAGCAUUCAGAACUCUGGCUUUAUUCCUCGCUUAUGUAUUUUGGAACAUAAUUGGUGUUGAUUUUCAACAGUGAAUUGCAAUAUCAUGCGAGAGUACUUAUAGCUAAAAUAAUUAAGAGUAUUUAUUCUUGCAUUUGAGGUCUUACGUUCGAUUCCCCCCUCUCCGAAAUAUUGCUUGUAUUAAAAAUUUUUUGUAAUACUCUGAUCACAGGAACAUUCCACAUGUGCAUUCUAUAUAAUAGUUGGCAUUCGGAGUCGACUAUGCAUGUAGAUAGACAUGUUAAUUUUGGAACAUCCUAUUGGUCAAUUAGAAUAUUAUUAAGUUAGCACACCAGUUGGAAUAAGUUGAAUUUUCCAAAUAAACUUUUAGUGGUGGCGUAAUUUCUUUGACUAAAAUAUUGAUUGAAAUUGGGAAUUAUAUUUUUCCUUUUCACAUGUACAACCACCGCUAAAAAAAAAAUUAAAAUUGUCUAUAUAUGGGAGCUACUUUACACAUAUACCCUUCCCCCUACCCUAUAAAUACCACCUCUGGUGCUCUCACUUCCUCACACCAAUAUCAAACAUUCUCUUAGCUUCCUCACAUCUCAAUCUUUCUUUGAUCAUUUUCUAAGCUCUAAAAUCAUCACCAUGGGUGUCUUCACAUACUCAGACGAGUCCACCUCAGUCAUCCCCCCACCAAGAUUGUUCAAAGCCCUUGUUCUUGAAGCUGACACCCUCAUCCCCAAGAUUGCUCCCCAAUCAGUGAAAAGUGCUGAAAUUGUUGAAGGAGAUGGAGGUGUUGGAACCAUCAAGAAGAUUAGCUUUGGUGAAGGUUGGUUUCUGCCAUUGCCUCUUCUAAGUUUAACUUGUUUGCCUAAUUAAUAACAUAAAUCUUGAAAGCAUUAAUCUCUUAAUUUCUAAUUAUAAUCCUCAUUUUACAGGAAGUCAUUACAGCUAUGUGAAGCACCAGAUCGACGGGCUUGACAAAGAUAACUUUGUGUACAACUACAGUUUGGUUGAAGGAGAUGCUCUUUCAGACAAGGUUGAGAAAAUCAGUUAUGAGAUUAAGUUGGUGGCAUCUGCUGAUGGAGGUUCCGUCAUAAAGAGCACCAGCAACUACCACACCAAAGGUGAUGUUGAGAUCAAGGAGGAGGAUGUUAAGGCUGGGAAAGAGAAGGCAACUGGUCUGUUCAAGCUUAUUGAGAACUACCUUGUGGCCAACCCUGAUGCCUGCAACUAAAACCUUAAAAUGAAUAUAUACUGCAUGUGCUUUCUCUCUCAUUGGUGUGGCUUUCAUUUUCCUUUUCUUUUUUCUGGUGUAUCAAGCCAGAGCUGCUUUGGCUUGCACCUGAGGCUAUGAUAAUUUGUAAUGUUUGUAUUUGAUUUGAUUCUCAAUAAAUGAAGCAAAAAAUCAAUUACUAGUCUUUACAAUACAAUAAUGUAUAAUCCCAGCAAUUGGAUCUUUGAUUAGGUAGAAGAUUUAUGAUUGAUGGGCUGAUUUUGAAGCAGGGUAGCCUCUGUGUGAUUAGAGAGACCUCAACUGUACAGGUAAAAGUAACAUUACAUAUUUACUGUUCACAUCUCUCAUAAAGUAACAUCAUAGCUUAAAACCACAACGGAAGCCCAAAUAGAAACUCGUUUCGCUUAUUUCACUAGGAGCCUGAACGACUGGAUUAUAACCUAACUGUAUAAGCUUCCUUUCUAAAGUAGAGGAAACAGAACGAGUUUCCACAAAACACAAAAUAUCAGGACUACGGGAAGUUUUUAGACUUUUAACAAACUGAAAAAAACAUGGCCGAGAGCAACCUCUACAAUUCCACAAGUAGAAAGAUGGUACCCAGCAGGGCUUUGAAACUGAUCAGGAUCAUUAUUAUUAAAAAUAUCCACAAUAUGAGGUGAAUGAUUGUCAAUAGUUCCAGAUGACCCAUGGGGGAUUAUUGAAUUGACUGGAAUUCCAGCAGUUUUCAUGGCAAAUACCAUUACUGCACCAGCAUUAUCAAGAUUGGACAUAGGUGGAUAAUCAACAAAAACCAUAAAAAGAGCAUUCAAGUAGUGUUCAACAGUGAUAGGAAGAUGGAACUUAACAGCAAACAACGCAGACAUAGAUACAGAUAUAAUGUAUGAACCUAUUUAGAUAAGAUAGAUAAAUGAAAAGCAAAAGAGUUCUACGCCUAACAAAAGAAAGUGAAAAGAUAAAAGUAGUUUUGUUACCCUUAAGAACUAGUGAGAAUAUUAGAAAAAAGAAUCCAGUAGAUUAAAACCAAACAACACACAACAUUACCGUGAUUACUUUGACAGUAAAAAACCCAUCAAGUAUCAAAAUAUACCAAAGUGGUACAUAACCAGAUAAGAAGAACAAAGCACAAGGAUUUAUAUUUAUGGUAAUAACAUGGUUGUCCAACAUUGAGAAUAUAUGUAUAUACAAAAAACCGAAUGAGAUAAGAAAAUAAGACAGAGGAACAUACCUGAUUUUACCAUUGCAAGUAGACACAAAGGAAAGUAUAAAUCAAUCAACAGACCAAAUCCAAGAAAUAAAAGAUGUCAGAUGUCAGAACAAAGGAAAGCAGCCAGAAAUUCCAUCCAUAAGAAAGAUUAAUCAGUGAGAAGAGCAUGCAAGAAACCAUCUCUAGAAUACAGACCCUUUGCUCGAAAUCAUGAAGAGAAAGACUAACACAAAAGCAAGUACGCCUCAGAUAAAACAGAUUACACAAAAGACUAGUAAGCCAAAAAACCACAACCCUCCAUUAAUAACCGAAAACCAGAGCCAAUUUAGGACUGGUUGAAGCAAAAACCAAGAUCCAUUCCAAAAUAAAGUCUGGACUAGAUCUGGAAAAGUACAAUUGUUUCCCCAUCUACCAAUACAUAAAAGCCAGACAAACGAACUAUUAAUUGUAUAUCUAAGUAGGGUAGGUAACGGAGAAGGGCAAGAAGAACUAACAAAAUACCAACAAUUGAAAAGUACAAGGUGGAAUAAUUUGAGAGAAAACCUAGUGCUUGAACUGAAAUUAAAUUUUAUAUUUCAAAUUCAAAUUCAAAAAUAUUAUAAAAGAAAAACUCAUGACUAGGUACAUAAACUUCCUACUUCUUAGCCAUUUGAGCUAAACUUCAGUUCAUCGAUACAAAGUCCAGUUGGAAAUACUUCAUAAUCCCUUGAAAUAAAUAAAUUGUAAGUAAAUAGAUAAAAACUUGAAAGAAAAACAAAAUCAAUGCCAAGUUUUGUUGCACAAAUACUGGAGAGUUAGGUUGCAAGACUAAAGAAAGCAUUCCAACUUUACAAUAAACAGAGGUUACAGAAUACAUCUGCGGAGCACAGAAGAUGUAUAAACAUGUAGCACAUAUGCCUUUCAUGAUUCAAUUUCAAAGGAUAUGCUUUGCAUGUAAAUUCUCUUAUAUAUUACAGGUGAUUUAGACAGAGGGAAUGCAAAACCUAAAGAAUGAUCUAAAAUGGUCUACUUCUCAGAAGAUCUACAAACAUAUACGCUUAUAUAGAUAUCCAAAAUUACAAAUGAAAUGAGCUUUAACAUCAAAUUAAUUAUAUAUUAUGACUCAUAAAAACACCCACUUUUGCUUGCUUGGGUUGAGUAUUGCAUAUAACUUUUGGUUCAUUUUGGAGAAACAUUGGAAAUGUUUACUGCAAAGCAUUUGAUACAGAGUAAAUAAAGUCCAAGAAGCCAGUUCCCUUGAGAAGACCUUUACCAGUCAAGAGUUCAAAAUCUAACAACAAUAGGAACCCAAUCACAGCUGCCUUCCCAUUUAUGAUUUCGUUCCUCGCGGUGAAACCAAACGCCACAUCUAGACCGUCAUCAACCACCAUUUUCACCUGAAUUAACAAUUUAGCACGUCACCACGAAUUGAGCAAAUCAUCGUCAGCAAAUCACAGUUUGACACAUGCACAAAGCCAAGCCACGUACAUUUUUUCAAUGUCUAGUUUCUUAAAGAACAAGAAAAGAAAAAGAAAAAUACCUCAUCCACAUUGACAUCAGUAGCUGUAAAACCCGGUUGAGCCUUGCCACUGAAGACAAUUUCGGCAGCUGCAUCAGAUUGGAGUGAAGCAGCACCGAGGCUGAUGUAAAUGUUUUGGUCAUCAGUUUUGACAGGGUAGACGUAAAGCGUCCUCAAAGCGGGUGUGAGGACUCGGAGCACUGGGUUUUUGGGAUACCACUCCUUAAUGGAUCCGUUGCGCAGAUCAAAUGUGCUAUCAGUUGAUGGGCAAACUAUACACCCAUCCUGCAAUGCAACCAGUAUCAAUAAGUUAACAAACAAUUAGGAUUAGGAACAAAUUAAUUAACUGAAUUAAAAGUAAUUAAUUGGCUUGCCUGGGUGAGCUUGGCGUUGAGAAGGCCUUCGCUAUAAGCCCCUUCAGCAGGGGAGCGAUUCUCAAUAGCAAAGACCUGAUCUUUAUACCACAGCAAGAGUAUGGCUUCCCCAUCUUGAAUUAUGACGCGCCGCUCCCCCCUUGGCAGCGCGGCCAGUGGCACUACCGGUACCCAAUUCUCCCCGCCGCCGCCGCCAGACGCCGACGACGACCCGUCUGCCACCGACACCUCCAUCGCUUGGCACCUCGUCGUCAUUCUCCGACGAGGCACAGAGUGGUAAUUUCGUGCAUUAACACCGUGGUAAGAAUUAUGCGGCAGUAUCUGUUUCUGGGGGCUUAGUAGAGGGCGGGAUGCAGCAGGUGUAGGAUGAGUAGUAAGAUGGUAAUUUGGGGGCAAUGCGGGGGCGAAGGGUGAAGUAGAGGCCAUGGAAGAGUGUUUGGGUGGUGUUGGAUAGACAAAAGAGUAAGGGAGGGGAGGAGAGAAAGUGAAGGGUUCGUGUAUUGGAUAAGGAGUAGGGAUGCUCGCUGCUAUUCACACAGUCGCUCAAAAGUCACUGUGAUCAAAGUUGGCCACGUUGUCAUUUAACAGAGCAUUACACGUGUGACAUUAAUAGAGGACUUAGGGAAAGUUACAAAGAUAUGCCAAGUUUCUUUUAGUUAUAAAGAUUGAAUUCAAAUAAAUACACACUCCUCAUAGCUUAACACAAAGACAGCUUUGGCUUGAUAUAAAAAACGAAGCAAAACAGUAAAAUCAAGAAACUCAAAUGAUUUUCCUUCCCCACCCUUCCCUCCUACUCUCCCCUCUCCCCUCCUCUCUUUCUCCACCCUAACCCUUCCCCUCCCCUCCACCCCUCCUCUCCCCCUCGUUCCUUCCUUCUCUCUUGGGGUUGUUUACAUAUACUCUUUGUGAGUUGGAUGUUUGUUUGUAGUCUAGUGACUCUAGUCUAUACUUGUACUUUCUACUUAUGAGAGUUUAAAAGUUGUAGUUGUAUUGAUAGUUUUAGGCACUACGGUUCAUGUUUGGCAUGUUCAAACUUGCCGCUUUUAUACCGAAAUUUCUUUAGCCUUAUAAGACUAUUAGUGGAGAUACACUUUAUACACUUGUUGUUGCCAAUGUGUUUCUACGUAUCUGGAUUAACCUUGCUUUAGGCACUAUUGCAUAGCCAAAUCCAACUUUUGAAAUUUUUUUUUAAUACCUAAAUAACCCAAUGGAUUUCAAAUCCUUAAAAGAAAAAGGAAAAAAAAAAAGGUAGCCCAUGUACUCCAACUAGCCUUUUGUAUAUUAUUUUAUUGAAUUUUGGUGUCCAUAAUUUGCAGGGUUAUUUAUUUAAAUGGUCCUCAAACUUAUACUCUAGUUGCAUUUUGGUACCUCAACUAAAUUAUUUGUUCAAAUGAUCCACCAACUCUUUAUUAAUCGAUGCACUGGUCCUACCAUUACAUUUUCUUUUAAAUUUAGUCAUGUGAGUAGCACAUGUUACAUUUGUGAGGGUAAAUAAGACUUUUGACAACUAAAAAAAUUAAAAUAUAUGAUUAAAAAUUAAUAAAAAAUUCUUUAUUUUUAAAAUUAAUAAAACAACAAAAAGUAACCCACAAAAUAAAAUAAAAUACACCAGCCCACCCAACCCCACUCCCAUCUCAUCAACCCAACCCCUAUAUUUGACGGCAAUAUUGACAGAAUGUAAUGGUAGGACCAAAGUCCCGAUUAAUGAAGAGUAGGUGGACCAUUUUAAUGAAUAAUUUAGUUGAAGGACCAAAAUGCAACUCAAGUAUGAGUUUAAGGACCAUUUGAGUAAAUAACCCUAAUUUGCAUUAUCCAUAUAUCCUUUAUAAGGAGGCACAAGUGGGCUCUAUUUUUUCAUUUGGGUCAUUUUGAUCUAGGCUCUUUGUAGCCUCUAGUGGAUUAUAUUGGGUCUUGGGCAUUAGGGUUUUCAUUUAGAACUUCGACCCCUUUAUUCAGAUUCCAAGAGUAUCAAUGUUUGUUAACAGGGUCUAGUCUAGUGGAUAAGGACCUUGAUUUGCAAAUUAGAGAUCUCAAGUCGGAACUCCCAUGACAUCUUGGUUGUGUGUGUACAUGUGAGAAACCCCCUCCCUUUAGUUUAGACUGUCGCUUGUACUUUAAAAAAAAGAGUAUUAUUGUUUGAGUAGCUUUCAUUUAGGUACUCAUAUCCUCCCAUGAUUGCCUAUAUCCCAUUUUUUUCAAUUGAUGAAUAGCGAUGUGUGUAUAUGUAUGUCGGUUGUUGUCUGUGGGUUGGAAUCUAUUAAGGUGGUCGUAACUUGCAAGCAGUCUGACAGUUAGCCUUAGUCAAAAUAUCAUAAAUAAAAAGUAGAUUUUGUUGAAUUUUCAAUAAAAAAAUUUCCAAUUGGAAAAAUUGGCCUAAAAGUUAGCCCCUGUCAUUUCUUAUUCAUGGAUAUGUGCCUGUGCGGUUACUGUGUUUUCUCUUUAUAUUAAUCUUUUUUGGGUAUUUUUAUUAGCUCUUGUGACUUAUGGUCUUUGUGUCAAAUUUAUGAAUAUAAUUAUAGCUUUUCUCUAUAGUUUUACUUGUAGGCAUCAAGGUUGCCUCAAAUGGUACUUCUCAAGAACCUUGAGCAAACCAAAAGACCAUUUCUCGAAUUAUGCGUGUCCUUCUUAUCAUUCCAAUUUUAUCGAAUCUUUACUUUAUAUUAGGUAAAGAAAAGAUUGAAAUUUACGAAACUGGAGAAAAUAAAUACUGCAGACUAAAUUUAGAUCUAGAAAGACUACCAUGAAAUGAUAAAUAUAAUGAUAAAUAUAAAAUUCAUGUUUUAUUUAUUGAUAUUGAAAUCGAAUACAGCAUUAUUCGCUAAUCAUGACUCCAAAGUGUAAGCCAAAGGCCUAAUUUGGUAUGAUACAAAAGAAAAAACUGAAAGCCACACCGCUCAAUAAACAGAGAAAGCAGGGCACAUGUUGUUGCCCCUAUAGCAUGCAGUAUAUAUAUGUAUAUAUUUUAGUUGUAGGCAUCGGGGUUGGCCACAAGAUAGGUCUCAAUAAUCUUGAACAAAGCAUGGACCUUCUCUUUGCCGGCCUUAACAUGCUCUUCCUUGAUCUCAACAUCACCUUUGGUGUGGUAGCUGCGGGUGUUCUUUAUGAUGGAACCUCCAUCUGCACUGCAGAAUGCAGAUGCCACCAACUUAAUCUCGUAAGAGAUUUUCUCUAUUUUGUCUGAAAGACAGACAAUAUAGGUGGAAAGUAAACAAACAUUCCCCAAAGUUAGUCUUGUUGAUGGUUCCAACUCCUCCAUCUCCUUCAACAAUUUCAGCACUUUUAACUGCUUGUGAAUGGGACUAUGCAGAGGGGACCUUGCACUCAAAGAUUGCCACACCUGUUUCAACGACUCUGUUUCCAUUCUCUUGCAAUGCAGAAUUGCACUAAUCAGAAGGGAACAGCGCUGUACGAUUCCAUACUCGAACAUGUCAAUUUUCAAUGUCGAUGAAGACGAGCCUGCUAAGUUUGUGCCGAGCCGAAAUGGGCUGAAGAGAGUUAACAGAGUUAAAAUAAUGUUACGUGGUGUGCCAUAUGUCACAAAACUAAGGAGGAAACAAGCGGCACAAGGGAUUUGGAAACAGGAAAAUAAAGCCUCCCGUAGAAGUUGAUUUGAAAAAUUCAACUUAUUCCAACUGGUGUGCUAACUUAAUAAUAUAAUAAUUGGCCAAGAAAACUUAAUAAUAUCUUGAUUUCUAACAGGAUGUUCUAAAUGCCAAGCGAUAAUCUUGAAUGCACAUGGAAUGUCCAAAAUCUAAUGGAAAGUUCCAAAGUACAUGUGCAAGGAAUAUAUUCAGAGUUCUAAUUUCCAAAAUACAUCUAAUGUUAUUAUUCACAGUUUUGGGCAUAAAAGACAAGCAUGAAAUUUGGUGGGACUGUUUGCAUCAUUAGAUGCUUCAAAGUUACAAAUCAUAUUUUGGAUAAUUAACACAGUGGGAUAGAAAGGACGAAACAAUAUUUUUGUUAGAGCUGCCAUGCUUCAACUCUGCCUUCUGUUCUGUAUCUUCUGCUUCAAAAUGUCCAUUAAUUAUAAUUUUUUACUUCACUUAAGGAUCCAAUCCAACUGUAACAUGUCUUCCAAUUUAAACUUUCCAUGGCUUCUCUUUUCAAGUAAUUUAUUUUACCAAACUGCUCUAAUCAAGUUGAAGUCAAAGUUUACUCACUUUAUAUUUCUUUUUAUUAAGUCAUGUCUAUUUCAAAACUGUUAAGUUGAGACCAUAGUCCAAACGUGGGUUAGACCGGUUGAUCAAGGCGAUGUGUCUAUUCCUUUGUAUCCGAGUUCGUUUUCUCUCUUCAAAAAUUAGGCUAGUUUAGAAUACGGUUGUCAAAACAACAAAAUUGAGAAGAUUGAAAUUCACGGAAUUGAAGAAAGAAGAUACUGCAGACCAAAUUUGCAGAGACUACCAUGAAAUGAUUUAUAGAAAAUUUAUGUUUUAUUUAUUGAAAUUGAAAUCGAAUACAACAUACUCUUUAAUCAUGACUCCAAAGUGAAAGUCAAAGACCUACUUUGGUAUGAUAACAAAUAAAAAUAAAAUGAAAGGCCACACACACUGCUCAAUAAACAGAGAAAGUAGGACACAAGUUGUUGCCCCUAGAGCAUGCAGUAUAUUUCAUUUAAGGUUUUAGUUGUAGGCAUCUGGGUUGGCCACAAGGUAGUUCUCAAUAAGCUUGAACAGACCAGUUGCCUUCUCUUUCCCAGCCUUAACAUCCUCCUCCUUGAUCUCAACAUCACCUUUGGUGUGGUAGUUGCUGGUGCUCUUUAUGACGGAACCUCCAUCAGCAGAUGCCACCAACUUAAUCUCAUAACUGAUUUUCUCAACCUUGUCUGAAAGAGCAUCUCCUUCAACCAAAGUGUAGCUGUACACAAAGUUAUCUUUGUCAAGCCCGUCGAUCCGGUGCUUCACAUAGCUGUAAUGACUUCCUGUAAAAGGAGGAUUAUAAUUAGAAAUUAAGAGAUUAAUACUUUCAAGAUUUAUGUUAUUAAUUAGGCAAACAAGUUAAACUUAGAAGAGGCAAUGGCAGAAACCAACCUUCACCAAAGCUAAUCUUCUUGAUGGUUCCAACACCUCCAUCUCCUUCAACAAUUUCAGCACUUUUCACUGAUUGGGGAGCAAUCUUGGGGAUGAGGGUGUCAGCUUCAAGAACAAGGGCUUUGAACAAUCUUGGUGGGGGGAUGACUGAGGUGGACUCGUCUGAGUAUGUGAAGACACCCAUGGUGAUGAUUUUAGAGCUUAGAAAAUGAUCAAAGAAAGAUUGAGAUGUGAGGAAGCUAAGAGAAUGUUUGAUAUUGGUGUGAGGAAGUGUGAGCACCAGAGGUGGUAUUUAUAGGUAAAUGGGGAAAGGCCAGAUUUGUAAAAUGGCUUUCAUUAAUAAAGGAAUUUAGACAAGUUUAUAAUUUUCCAAUGGUUCUUGUCCAUGUGAAAAGGAAAAUAUGAUUUUCAAUGAAAUACAGCAAUAUUUUAGUCAAGGAAAUAAAGCUUCCAGUAGAUGUUGAUUUGAAAAAUUCAACUAUUCCAACAGGAUGAGGGUGUGCUAACUUAAUAAUAUCUUGAUUUCUAACAGGAUGUUCUAAAAUUAACUUGUCUGUCUAACAAGCAGAGUCUAUUCUGAAUGCACAUGGACUCUUUUCAUGAUCAAAUUCAAAGAAGCAUUGCAAGCAACUCAUAACUAAAACAACUUAAGAAGGAUUAGUUACAUCCUUUAUCUCUUUUUGUUGACUAAUCACAUAGAUAUCUGCUUCAACUCUGCCUUGUGUAUCAUCAUUAAUUACAUAUUUUACCUCACUUAAGGAUCCAACUGCAGAGAUUAUAUAAUAGUGUAUUGUGAUUGGCUCCCUAUCCCUUUCCUAGACGUAUCAUGUCGUCUAAUUUAGACUUUCCAUGGCUUCUCUUUUCAAGUAAUUUCCUUUACCAACCUUGCUGCUCUAAUCAAGUUGAAGUCAAGUCUAUACUUUAUAUUUCUUUUUCGUAAGUCAAUGUCAAAAUUGUAAAGUAAAGACCGCAAUGUACACGUGGUUAAGCCGGUUGGUUCUGCCCUUUUCACUCGAGAUGAUACUCUUCUCAUAAAUUAUAGUAGUUUAAAUUUUAAAAUAAUAAUAUUUAUAAAUAAAAAAAGUUGAGACCUUAGUUUGUUAUAUUUCGAAAUUCUCUACCCUUUCCUUUGGUAUUAUAAUUAAAUGAUUUUUGCUUUAUUAAUUGAGAUUGAUCAAAUACAAUACUACAAUUUAUCAUAACCCCAAAUGCAAGCCAAAGACUGCUCUGGCUUGACAGAAGAAAAAAGAAUGUGAAAAGGACGUUAGAUUUUUCAGUUGAUUGAAUGAGAAUAUUAUUGAGUCAGCAAACUCAGCACACCAGAACAUUCUAUGAAAAAAUUCCAGCUAGUUGUAAUAAGUUGGAAUUUUUAAAAUCAACUUGUAGAGGUGGCUUUGUUUGACUAAAAUAUUCACAUGGGAAACAACCACUGAACUUUAUAUCCAUUGGGCUCACUUUACACAUCAGACUCUUCACCCUAAACCUAUAAAUACCACCUCCAGUGCUCAUAGCUUCCAACAUCAAGUAAUACCUCGAAUUUCAUUCUUAUUUUUUAUCAUUUCCUAAGCUCUUAAAUCAUCAUCAUCAUCUAUCAUGGGUGUCUUCACAUACGCAACCGAGUUCACCUCAGUCGUUCCUCCUGCUAGGUUGUUCAAAGCCCUUGUUCUGGAUGCUGACAACCUAGUCCCAAAGAUUGCUCCACAAGCAAUUAAAAGUGCUGAAAUUGUUGAAGGAGAUGGAGGUGUUGGAACCAUCAAGAAGACUAGCUUUGGUGAAGGUUUGUUUACUUCCCACCAUUGUCUGUCUCUCUACUAAUUAACUUGGUUUUCAAGUUAAUAUGUAUCUUGAAAGCAUUAGUGUAAUAAUUUCUAAAAAGAUUGACAUUAACCAUCCUGAAAUUUUGAAAUUACAGGAAGUGAAUACAGCUACGUGAAGCACCAAGUUGACGCGCUUGACAAAGAUAACUUUGUGUACAACUACAGUUUGAUUGAAGGAGAUGCUCUUUCAGACAAAAUAGAGAAAAUCUCUUACGAGAUUAAGUUGGUGGCAUCUGCAGAUGGAGGUUCAGUAAUAAAGAACACCAGCAGCUACCACACCAAAGGUGAUGUUGAGAUCAAGGAAGAGCAUGUUAAGGCCGGCAAAGAGAAGGCCCAUGCUUUGUUCAAGAUUAUUGAGACCUAUCUUGUGGCCAACCCUGAUGCCUACAACUAAAACCAUCUAUAGGUGCAACAGUCUUGUGUCCUGUUUUCUCUGUUUCUUCAGCAAUGUGGCAUUCAAUUCUUUUUUCUUCUUUAUCAUUUGAAUUGCACUUUUGGAGUUAAGAUUGAAGAGUAAUGUUGUACUUAAUUUCAGUCCCAAUAAAUAAAUAAAACAUAAAUUUCAGUACUUCUGUUUUCCCCUUUUGAGUAAUUGUUACCAACUAACAGUAAACUGUUUUUUUAAUUCAAAACUAACAAUGACUGAGGAAGGCUAAGAUUUUAAGUGAAUCAAUUUUCUUGACAACAUGACGCUGGUGCAGUCAUAUCUUCACUUAAACGUGAAAAACCCCCAAAAAAUUUUUAUACUGAAAUGCUUUAAAAUGAGGCUGAGCACAAGGGCGGACUCGGGAAAUUUUAUAGGUUGGACUAAUAUCUUUUAAUGGGAGAUUUACCUUUUUUUUUUCUUUUUAAAAACAUGUUUACAUGGUUUUUUUGAUAAGGGGUUUACAUGGUUAAUUGGCUAUAGGCUAUAGGUUUUUUUUUUUAUAUGCAAAGAAAAUGAGUGGUAGCAACUAUUCUUCAAUUAAUAAUUUUUAAAUUUUAUGAGAGUACACAUAGACGUAGGGAGUGUAGAUACAAUUGCACAAUCACAAGCUACAAGCAUUCAACAAAACCAAGAGACAACUAGACUAUAUAAAAGCAGACAUGGUUAAGCCAGUUGUCAAAAUUGUAAAAUAAGGAUUUCUAUGUAGGCUUAUCUUUUGAGGUGCCAUUUUUUGUGAAAAUCCCACAUAAAAAAUCCACACUCCUAUAAAGGUGUUUAUAAACAAAGCCCUAUGAUGAUUUGAUAAGUGUGGUUAACAUUGGAGAGUUGGGCUCAUGGGCUUGGCUAUAGGCUCGGCUUUGAUUAAUAAUAAUUAUAUCAAUCAAAGACUAGGGCCUUGGGGCUCUUGGGAUCGGGAGAAAUUUAAUUAAGACACCUAAACGAAAAUAAGUAAUUUAAUGGGAUACUUUUUUUUCUUUUAAAUAUUUUUCCCCGAUUUUCGUUUAUCGAUAAGAGUAGUUUAAGACACCCAGAGUAAUUACCCGUACAAAAAAUACACAUAUUUUUAACAAAAGUUUCAAUAAGACACAAAUUAACGUGUAUAUAGUAUAGCCAUGCUCGGUUCAUUUUAAUUUUUUUGUAAAACUAGUAUAGCCGGUCGGCUGUACUCGGUUUUUCUGAAUUUUUUAAAAUAGUAUACCCGGGCGGCUAUACUCGAUUAUUCCCUAAUUUUUUAAAAAAAUAGUAUAGCCGGGUGGCUAUAUCUAUUUUGACACAUGGACGUCUGAUCGCAAGGGGGUCCACUUUUUUUACGUGUACAAGUAGUAUAGCCGCACGGCUAUACUCGAUUUUUUUUUUCUUAAAAAAUAGUAUAGCAGACCGGCCAUACUCGCUUUUUUCUUUUUUAAAAAAAAAAAUACCUCUCAUGACAAAAUAUCGUGGGUAGAGGUCUAUGCUGACAAAGGUUUGCCGGAUUAGACACCUCCUGACGAAAUUUGCCUAUGUCGACGAAAUAUUGUCUGCAAAGAUCUUCCAGCAAAUUUCGCCGAGAUAGACAUUUGUCGACGAACUUUCGUACGCAGAGAUUUAAAAAAUAAAUAAAUAAAAACUUAGUAUGUUUAGGUUAAUUAAUUUUUUAAAAUUUUAUUUUUAUUAAUUAAAUAUUAUCUUUGCCCAAUUAUUAUUUCUUUAAUGAAUAAUUGGUAUUAAGUAUUUUAAUUGACUUCAUGAAUUAUAUUACUCAAUAAAUAGUAAUUCAAAGUUUCUAUUUUUAGAGUAUAAUCGCGUGGUUAUACUCUUUAAAUAUAAUUUCAUAUUGCACCAACAACAAAAAUAAGGGUUUCUAUGUAGGCUUAUCUUUUGAGGUGCCCUUUUUUGGUGAAAAUCCCACAUCGAAAAUUCACGCUCCUAUAAAGGUGUUUAUAAAUAAAGCACUAUGAUGGUUUGGUAAGUGUGGUUAACAUUGGAGAGUUGGGCUAAUGGGCUUGGCUUUAGGCUCGGCUUUGAUUAAUAAUAAUUAUAUCAAUCAAAGACUAGGGCCUUGGGGCUCUUGGGAUCGGGAGAAAUUUAAUUCUUGGGAUCUGGAGAAAUUUAACUAAGACACCCAAACGAAAAUAAGUAAUUUAAUGGUAUCCUUUAUUUUCUUUUAAAUAUUUUACCCUGAUUUUCGUUUAUCGAUAAGAGUAGUUACCCAGAAUAAUUACCCGUACAAAAAAUACACAUAUUUUAAACAAAAGUUUCAAUAAGCUACACAAAAUCAACGUAUUAUACAAAUAAUUCUCACCUAUUAUUGAAUAAAAAUAAUAUAUAUUCAAAUAUUGUAAAGUGACCAAUUUUUAAGUUGUAAAGGGAUCCCUUUUUUUAUUUGUAUUUUAAAGAAAAAUUUUAUUUUUCGGAUUUUUUUUUCAAAAAUAGUAUAGCCGUGCGGCGGUGCUCUCUUUUUUCUAAUUUUUAAAAAAUAGUAUAGCCGAGCGGCUAUACUUAUUUUGACCCGUGGGCACCUAACCGCAAGGGGGUCUUUUUUAAUGUGUAUAAAUAGUAUAGCCGCACGGCUACACUCAUUAUUUGAUUUUUUUUGUAAAAAUAGUAUAGCCGGUCGGCUGUACGCCGUUUUUCAUCUUUUUAUUUUAUAAAUAGCAUAGCCGGUCCGCUAUACUCGCUUUUCCCUAAUUUUUUUCAAAAUAGUAUAGCCAGGCGGCUAUACGUAUUUUGACACGUGGGCACUUAACCGCAAUAGGGUCUUUUUUAACGUGUAUAAAUAGUAUAGCCGCACGGCUAUACUCAAUUUUUUUUUUUUGUAAAAAUUGUAUAGCCGGUCGGCUGUACUCGGAUUUUCCUUAUUUUUUAUAUAUAAAAAAAUUAUAAAAAAAUUAUAAAAAAAUUCUUCAGUUAGCCUAUCCCACCCCAAUCGCCCUCUCCCUCCCUCUCCCCACCAACCCCAACCUUCUCCUUUGGCGAAAUCCCAACAGUCAACACCAUGACCUUACAAACAAUUAACUCUCAUUCUUUAACCAAAGAAAAACUCUUCUUCUACUGCCAACGAAAAAAACACUCCCCUUCCUAUCACCCACAAAAAAAAAAAAAAACACAUUGAUUGCUCUAUCUAUUCCAAAAAAUGAAAACACAUUUGCUUUAUUUUAUUUUUAAUUUCAAAGACUGCAAGAGAGGUGUUAUUUGAGUUUGAAAUUAAAAGGAAAGAAGGAGACAAAGGAAGAAAAGGAAAUGGCCAUGGAUUUCUGUCAGUUUUAGAGUUUCCCAAAAGCUCAAAGUUGAUGUAAUUAUGGGACUACUUGAGCUUCAGAGUUAGAGAAGAAAGAAAAACAAUUGGAUUAUGUGUGAUUGAAAAUAAAAUUAGGGUUAUGAGUUUGUAAGUUUAGAUUUUCUUAUGGUUCCUAAUUUCUGAAGAACACAGGGAGAGAAAGAUGUUCACUUUGUUUUCUUUGGUGGGUUGGGUAUGAAGAUGGGUGUGGAUUUCGAACAAAAAGAAAAAGAAAAAGAAAAUAUGGGUUGGGGUGCAUGUGAGAGAGACUGAGGGAGUUGUUCUCAUUAGUCAUUUUACAAAGGGGUAAAUUUGUCUUUAAAAUUUUGAAAAUAAGAUGGGUAGGAAAAUAAGACAGAUAGAUGGAAAUAGCAGGACUCUAACUUUUAAAUUGUAAAGGGGUCCCUUUUAAAUAAUAAUAAUAAUAAUUUUUUUAAAAAAAAUAGUACCGCCACACGAUUGUACUCUAUUUUUUUCCUAAUUUAAAAAAAAAAUAGUAUAGCCGGUCGGCGAUACUUAUUUUGACACUUGAGCACCUAAUCGCAAGGGGUUCCUUUUUUUAAGUGUAUAUAUAGUAUGGCCGCACGGCUAUACCUGGGGUUUUUUUUGUAAAAGUAGUAUAGCCGGUCGGCUGUACUCAGUUUUUCCUAACUUUUUUUUUAAUAAAUAGUAUAGCCGGGCAGCUAUACUUAUUUUGACACUUGGGCGUCUAAUCGCAAGCGGGUCCACUUUUUUACGUGUACAAAUAGUAUAGCCGCACGGCCAUACUCGGUUUUUUUAAAAAUAAAAAAUAAAAAAUUCUAGCUGGUCUCCUGUACUCGGUUUUUUCUUCUUUUUUUUUAAAAAAACCUCUCUCGACGAAAGAUACCUCUGCCGACGAAAUUUGUUGGGAAAGGUCUCCGGCAAAUUUUGCCGGGAUAGACAUGUGCCGACGAACUUUCGUCGGAAGAGAUUUUUAGAAAAAAUAAAUAUAAACUUAGUAUGUUUAGGUUAAUUAAUUUUUUUAAUUUUAAUUUUUAUUAAUUAAAUAUUAUCUUUGCCUUAUUUUCAUUAUUAUUUCUUUAGUGAAUAAUUAGUAUUAAAUAUUUUAAUUAACUUCAUGAAUUAUAUUACUCAAUAAAUAGUAAUUCAAAUUUUCUAUUUUUAGAGUAUAGUCGCACGGCUAUACUCAUUAAAUACAUAUUGCAUCAACAAUAAAAAUAAGGAUUUCUAUGUAGGCUUAUCUUUUGAGGUGCCCUUUUUUGUGAAAACCCCACAUUAAAAAUCCACACUCCUAUAAAGGUGUUCAUAAACAAAGUACUAUGAUGGUUUGGUAAGUGUGGUUAAUUACCCAUACAAAGAAUUUAGCACUUUCACGUUUAAUAGUGUACAUGUACGUACGUAUUUUUCAUGUUUAAUACAUGUAUUUUUAAAAAAGUUUCAAUAAGACACACAAAAUUAACGUAUUAUACAAAUAAUUUUCACCUAUUAUUGAAUAAAAAUAUUAUAUAUUAAAAUAUUAUAUAGUGACCUAACUUUUAAGUUUUAAAGAGGUCCUUUUUUUUAGUUAAAAAAAAGUAUUUUUCUGAUUUUUUUUUUUACAAAAGUUUUUCCUUUAUUUCCCGUUUUUUCUAAAUGUCCAUCUUAGCAGUUCACACGCUAUAAAAGAAAAAAAAGAAACUACUAAAAUGGACGUCUAGAAAAAUACGGGCGAUAAAGGAAAACUUUUAAGACGACGAUUUAUCACACAUGCGCGAUUAAAAUAUGAAACUGUUGAAAUGGACAUCUAUAUAAAUACAAUUGCAAAAAAAUAUUUACGAAACUUUAUAAGUUGCGCGUAGUGCGUGUGAUUUAAAAAAAGACUCUCGCCUAAGCAAAAGUGUGUGCAUGGAGGCUAAUAUAUAUAUAUAUAUAUAUAUAGUACAACCAUUCAACUAUACCUGAUUUUAUUUUUUUAAUUUGUUAAAAAAAAGUAUAGCCGCGGCUAUACUCUGUUUUAUUAAUGUCUCUAAGAAAGUAGUGUAGUUGCUAAAGUCAUUCUAGAUUAUGUUUACACUAUUGUUUGGGGUCUUUCCAAGAAUGCUUCUGUUGGGGUCUUUUCCGUCGGAAGGCUCAUCCGGGCUUGUUGAUUCUUGGACCGUCAUAGAGUGGUGAAUCAAGCCUUCAUUGUCCCUUUCUGAGUUAGCAAGAAAUAGGCCUAAAGUAUCCCGAGGGAGAAGCAAGUCCUAGGGGAGUACUUUGUUCUUCUUUCAGCGACUGCGUGCUUUGUAUGGAUGUUUUCAGCCGCUUGACGAAGAGUAGAAGAUGGUGCAUUGAUGUUAAACAGACUUGGCAUGAGAGUUUGCUUUGUGAAUUAAGAUACUACUAGACUUGGCAUAAGAUGUUAGGUGUUUUAGAUAUGGGAUUGAGCUUUUUUGAGAGAGAGAGAGAGAGAAAGAGAGAGAAAGAGAGAGAGAGAGAGAGAGAGAGAGAGAAAGAGAGAGAGAGAGAGAGAGAGAGAGAGAGAGAGAGAGAGAGAGAGAGAAGAUGGGUGGCUUGAGUAGAUUUCCAGCAGCUUGACGAAAGCUUUGUCAGGCUCUUGGGUGGCUUACCAGAAGAGAAAAAAAGGGAAGAAAUAGAAUAAUAGAGCUUGAAAUAGAAAGUUUCCAGAGGUGAGUGGUGAUGCUUGCUCUCUCUGGAUGUGUUUAUGGGAGGGAGAGGAAGAAUAUGGAAGAACACGCCUUGAGAUUGAAGCUUCCAGCAAUGAGUAAGGGUGUUGCUUGCUUUGGCUGAGUUGAAGAUGACUUGCUGACGUUGAUAUGAGAUUAUAUGAGCUUAGCAUGAGAGCUUAGAGUGUGGGAGCUAAAGACCCACAAGUUUAGCAAAUGAGAAUGUUUGUGCUUAGGUUGGUGUUUGAUAUGCUUGAGUUUGGGUGUUAGGAAUUUAUUGUUUAAAGUUAUGGCUAUGGUGGUUUGAUUGUUUGGCUGUGAUGGUUGUUGGGAUGCUUAUAGCAGUCAAAUGAAUGGGGUUUCAAAGAGCAUGGCUAAGGAAAGAAAAACUUAAGACUUUGAAGGGUAUGGUGUUUAUGACAAUGAUUCUAGAGAAAUUUAUGAGUUUUAGAGGUGGAAGGAUAAAAGGAAAAGCUUGAGGCUUGAAAGCUAUAGUGUUUAUAGCUUGGAUGGGUAUGAGAAUGAAGGAAAAGCUUGGAGUUAUGGUUUGUGAGUCUUUAUAGGGACAAUGGAGGAUUUCAAUGACAGGAAAAUAGAAGAAAUGGUUGUGAUAGCUGAGAAAUAGCUGGGAUGGCAGCUGGAAUGCUUGCAGUGGCUGAAUGGAGGAAAGAAAGUGGUCUGGUGGUUGUUGAAUGGGGUUGAUGGCUAGGUGAAGCUAGGUACUAUAAACUAAUUAUUUCCUAUGGGUAAAAGGAAGCACUGGAGACUGUUUGUUUCCAGUGGGUAAUAGGAAGUGCUCGAAAAGGCUUGUUUCCAACGGGUAAAUCUAGGCAUUUGGAAAAUAACUAUUUCCUAUGGGUAAAAGGAAGUGCUUGAAAAAUAUCUCAUUUGCUCACCCACAUUGGAGAACUCUAAGUAAUGGACUUGGACUUUGGUGCUCCCAAGUAGCUAGCCCAAAGUCUCCAUUAUCUAAGAGCUUCUGUGGGCCUUGUGGACCUCCGUAACCUUCCAUAUCACCACCCAUCAUUCAAGCCCCAUAAACCACAUGACUUGAGUUCAUGUGAGCUUGAUAGGUGAUUGGCAUGAGAAAAAUGUAUUAUUAGUUUGGCAUGGCAUGUGCACUAUUUCUAAUUUAUUUAAUGAAUUAAAUCUCAAAAUGCAACUUGGAUUAACACAUGACCGACAUUAUUUGUUAUAUUGGGCUUUAAAUGUCUUUGGGCUUCCCGUGACUUCUUGGGCCUCAACAGCUUCUUAAGGAGGUAGCCAUUCUUUUGUCUUCUUUGUUGAUGAGUUCUCUAGAAGAGUAUGGUUGUGCAACAUGAAGCAUAAGUAUGAAGUCUUGAAGAUAUUCAUGAAGUGGAAGAAGAUGAUUCAAACUCAAAGUGGUUCAAAAGAUCAAGACUCUUAGAUCAAACAAUGGCGAUGAGUGUAGGUCUGAUCCUUUCUUGAAAGUUUGUCAAGAUAAGGGUAUUGUGAGACACUUCAUGGUUAGGGAGACACCGCAACAGAAUAGGGUGGCGAAACCUAUGAAUUAUACUUUGCUUGAGAAAGUGCAAUGUAUGUUGUCUAAUGCUAGUGUGGGCAAAGCGUUUUGGGAUGAUGCAAUUACUUAUGCAAGUCAUCUCAUUAAUCGAUUGCGUGUUGCAGCGAAAGAGGGCAAAACGCCUAUGGAUAUAUGGUCUUGUAAACCUUGUACUGAUUAUAAAUAUUUGCAUAUAUUUGGUUGUCCUACUUACUUUCAUGUCAGGGAAAGCAAGUUGGAUCCGAGAGCAAAGACAACUCUAUUUAUGAGCUUUAGCACUGGCGUGAAAGGAUACAGAUUUUUGUGUUCAAAUGUGAAGAAAUUUGUUGUGAGCAGAGAUGUAACUUUUGAUGAGACUACUAUGGUUAAUCAGAACAAGAAUGGAAGUGAAAGUGAUGCGACCAAGACCACAAGUGGUUCAAAGUAUGUGGAGUUACUGAAAACUCUAGUUGUUCCAAUGAAGUCUGAUGAUUCAGACACUAGUCCUACAAUUGAUUCUGAAGAUGAGGAUGAGAGAAAUGAAGAGGAGGCAUCUAUCCAAGAGCCUUCACAGUAACAAGAUUCUAUUGCAACUACUAUACCCAAAAAAGUGAUUCGAAAGCCUACUCAGUAUAAUGAUAUUGUGGCAUAUGCACUUCCAGUUAUUAAAGAUGACAUUCCUUCCACCUAAAGAAGCAAACAGAAGUUCAGAGAGUGUGGAGUGGAAGAAGUCUAUGGAUGAGGAGAUGAAAUCGCUUCAUAAGAUUGAAACUUGGGAACUUGUUCAGUUACCAAGGGGAAAUAAAGCAAUUGGAUGCAAAUGGGUUUAUCCAAGAAGAUGGAAUCUUUGGGUAAAGGAAAUGUAAGAUUCAAAGCUAGAUUGGUAGCAAAGGACUAUGCUCAGAAGAAAGGCAUUGAUUACAACGUGGUAUUCUCUCAUGUUGUAAAGCCUUCCUCUAUUCGUAAUUUGUUGGCUUUGUGCAGUUUGACCUUGAGUUGGUUCAACUUGAUGUCAAGACAACAUUCUUACAUGGUGAUUUAGAAGAAGAGAUUUAUAUGUCUUAGCUACAAGGUUUUGGUGUUGUUGGAAAAGAAAAUUAGGUUUGCAAAUUGCGAAAAUCAUUGUAUGGUUUGAAGCAGUUUUCAAAACAAUGGUACAAGUGAUUUGAUCGGCUCAUGGGCCAAGGUACACAAGGAGUCAAUAUGACCAUUGUGUCUAUUUUCGCAAGCUACAAGAUGGAACCUUCAUCUACUUGCUUUUAUAUGUUGAUGAUAUGCUUAUAGCAUGUAAAAGCAAAGUGGAGAUUGAAAAUUUGAAGAAUCAGUUGAGUAAUGAAUUUGAGAUGAAGGACUUGGGAGAAGCUCGGAAGAUACUUGGAAUGGAAAUUGAACAAACCAAAGGGUCAUUUCUCGAUUUAUGCAUGUCAUCCUUAUCAUUUCAAUUUUAUCGAAUCUUUACUUUGAACUAGUAAAUUUUCAUUUGUAAAGACCAGCAACUGAUUUUUGCUUUAUUUAUUUAGAAUCAAAUCAAAUGGAAACAUUACAAUUUAUCAUAGCCUUAGGUGCAAGCCAAAGCAGCUCUGGCUUGACAGACAAGAAAAAGAAAAGGAAAAAUGACAGCCACACCAAUUUAAUGACAGAGAAAGCACACGCAGUAUAUUUCAUUUAAGGUUUUAGUUGUAGGCAUCUGGGUUGGCCACAAGGUAGUUCUCAAUAAGCUUGAACAGAUCAGUGGCCUUCUCUUUGCCAGCCUUAACAUCCUCUUCCUUGAUCUCAACAUCACCUGUGGUGUGGUAGUUGCUGCUGCUCUUUAUGAUGGAACCUCCAUCAGCAGAUGCCACCAACUUAAUCUCAUAACUGAUUUUCUCAACCUUGUCUGAAAGAGCAUCUCCUUCAACCAAACUGUAGCUGUACACAAAGUUAUCUUUGUCAAGCCCGUCGAUCCGGUGCUUCACAUAGCUGUAAUGACUUCCUGUAAAAUGAGGAUUAUAAUUAGACAUUAAGAGAUUAAUGCUUUCAAGAUUUAUGUUAUUAAUUAAGCAAACAAUUUGGAAGAGGAAAUGGCAGAAACCAACCUUCACCAAAGCUAAUCUUCUUGAUGGUUCCAACACCUCCAUCUCCUUCAACAAUUUCAGCACUUUUAACUGAUUGGGGAGCAAUCUUGGGGAUGAGGGUGUCAGCUUCAAGAACAAGGGCUUUGAACAAUCUUGGUGGGGGGAUGACUGAGGUGGACUCGUCUGUGUAUGUGAAGACACCCAUGAUGAUGAUUUUAGAGCUUAGAAACAGAUCAAAGAAAGAAUGACAGUGUGAAAGGAUUAGAUGAUUGGCAGGGAUGAUAUUUGAUGCUGGAAAAUGUGAGAAAUGGAGGUGCUAUUUAUAGAUUGAGGCUGAAGGUCGGGCUGUGUGAAAUCUGAGCUGUCUAUCAAAGACUUUAAGACUUUGAAAAUGAAAGUGAAAAGGACUUUAGACAGCACACCAGUUGUGUUGUAGUAUUCUGAUCAUCAAAAAGGCCAAUCAGAAUGGACUGUGUACGUAGACAUGUGUUUUAGAACAUUCUAUUAGAAAAUUAAUUAGCACAUAAGCUGAUUGUAAUAAGUUGGAAUUUUUAAAAUCAACUUGUAGAGGUGGCUUUCUUUGACUAAAAUAUUCACAUGGGAAAUAACCACUGAAAACUUGUCCAAACAACCUUAUAUCCAUUGGGUUCACUUCACCCUUAACCUAUAAAUACUCCCUCUGGUGCUCACAUUUCCUCACACCAAUAUCAAUCAUUCUCUUUUAGCUUCCUCCACAUUCAUUCUUUCUUUGAUCAUUUUCUAAGCUCUUAAAUCAUCAUCAUCACGGGUGUCUUCACAUACGAAACCGAGUUCACCUCUGUCAUUGCUCCACCUAGGUUGUUCAAAGCCCUUGUUCUAGAUGCUGACAACCUCGUCCCAAAGAUUGCUCCACAAGCAGUUAAAAGUGCUGAAAUUGUUGAAGGAGAUGGAGGUGUUGGAACCAUCAAGAAGACUAGCUUUGGUGAAGGUUUGUUUCCACCAUUCUCUCUCUCUGUCUACUAACUUGGUUUUCUAGUUAAUAUGUAAAAUGAAAGCAUUUGUGUCUUAAUUUCUAAAAAUGUUGACAUUAACCACCCUCAAAUUAUGAAAUUACAGGAAGUGAAUACAGCUAUGUGAAGCACCAGGUUGAUGCGCUUGACAAAGAUAACUUUGUGUACAGCUACAGUUUGAUUGAAGGAGAUGCUCUUUCAGACAAAAUUGAGAAAAUCUCUUAUGAGAUUAAGUUGGUGGCAUCUGCAGAUGGAGGUUCCAUCAUAAAAAACACCAGCAACUACCACAUCAAGGGAGAUGUUGAGAUCAAGGAAGAGCAUGUUAAAGCUGGCAAAGAAAGGGCCCAUGCUUUGUUCAAGGUUAUUGAGACCUAUCUUGUGGCCAACCCCGAUGCCUACAACUAAAACCAUCUAUUAUAUAUUCUACAUGUUAAGGGCAACAAUCUUAUGUCCUCUCCUUUCUCUGUUUGUUCAGCGGGGUGGUUUUCAAUUUUCUCAUACAAAAGCAGUCUAUGUAGUUAUGAUUAAAGAUUGUAUUUGAUUACAAUUUCAAUAAAUGGAACACAAAUCAUUUGAUAGCUUUUUCCAAAUUUGGUUUGCAAUGUUUCCCCUGAUUUCAUGAAUUCCACAUCGAUCGAUGUUAAGUGUCCGGGGCUAACUUAGCCAAAAAUCAGAAUAUAGAAGUAUAUCUUUUAAAGAUAGAACAUUCGACCCAAAUCAAUUAGCAAUGAGUUGAGAGGUUCAACAUUUUCUUUACGUAAAUGCAAGAUAUAAAAUACCCCAUCUAGAGACUUUGAUUCUUUGGUUGGCAAGGAGGAGAGGCAGAUUAGCUACUCUGGACGGGUUCAGCUAUUUAUAAUGGUCUCACUGCUCAUGCUUGGCUACCUGUUUCCCUUUGGUACCUUUGUUGUUCUUUGUUUCUUUACAAAUAUAUCUGUCAAGAAAUCAUGCUUAAAUUUGUUUCUGGUUCUCCGUUGUGUCAUGUUUGUGCAGAUUUCUGUGAGUUCUUUUUGGACAAAGAUUUCUAUGAGUUUGAUUGUCAGUUUUUAUUGUACAAUAAAGCACGGAUAUAUGACGUUCAACGAAAUAAAAAAGUGAAGUAACAAAUUGGCAUUACCAAAAGUGCAGUAAAAGCCACAGGCAGAAAAUCCAUAGAAAGGCCCCAAUAAGCUGGGCUUUGUACUUUGUUUAUCUUCAGAAAGACAAAAUUACAAUGGCCCAAUUGGCCCAAUUUAGAAAAUAAGUUGAUUCGAUCCAAGAGGAAAAAUUGGUAAGAUCAAACAAAUGUUUUAUUUUAUCAAUGGGGUUCUUGGUUAGAUUGGUUCAGGUCUUAGGUGUGCUCCUAAGUAAUUUUGGAUUUAAAUUCCCAUGGUACUCGUGCCUCUCAAGACCCUCUAAGUAGAAUUCGAAAGCCUUUUAAAAUAAUUAAAAUUCUAAAAGUAAAAAAUUGGCUAAAAUCUUAACAUGUCCAAAGUUUCCCUGAAGAAUUGACCAUAUUUUCAAUUGGAAACAUUUGCUGGAGAUACAAUUAGAUAUAUUUAGUCAUAUACCAAUUCUUAGCUAAAAUUAUAAAUAAACUCUACACAAUUUAAUUUUUAUAAACAUACUCAAAAAAAA
Molecule: long non-coding RNA, 37892 nt
Filed under: Prunus persica (peach)
Lineage: Eukaryota; Viridiplantae; Streptophyta; Magnoliopsida; Rosales; Rosaceae
Description: long non-coding RNA (PPER_LNC000367)
Source: RNAcentral